RNAcentral lists this ribosomal RNA (119 nucleotides) under Triticum dicoccoides. The record is from RNAcentral. Lineage: Eukaryota; Viridiplantae; Streptophyta; Magnoliopsida; Poales; Poaceae.
GGAUGCGAUCGUACCAGCACUGAAGCACCGGAUCCCAUCAGAACUCUGAAGUUAAGCAUGCUUGGGAGAGAGUAGUACUAGGAUGGGUGACCUCCUGGGAAGUCCUCGUGGUGCAUUCC